GGCGGACGGGUGAGUAACACGUGGGUAACCUACCCAUCAGAAUGGGAUAACACCGGGAAACCGGGGCUAAUACCGGAUAACAAUUUAAACCGCAUGGUUCUGUUUUGAAAGGCGGUUUCGGGUGUCACUGAUGGAUGGACCCGCGCUGCAUUAGCUAGUUGGUAAGGUAACGGCUCACCAAGGCCACGAUACAUAGCCGACCUGAGAGGGUGAUCGGCCACAUUGGAACUGAGACACGGUCCAAACUCCUACGGGAGGCAGCAGUAGGGAAUCUUCCGCAAUGGGCGAAAGCCUGACGGAGCAACGCCGCGUGAGUGAAGAAGGUUUUCGGAUCGUAAAACUCUGUUGUUAGAGGAAGAACAAAGUUGAUAGUAACUGUAUCAUCCCUUGACGGUACCUAACCAGAAAGCCACGGCUAACUACGUGCCAGCAGCCGCGGUAAUACGUAGGUGGCAAGCGUUAUCCGGAAUUAUUGGGCGUAAAGCGAGCGCAGGCGGUUUCUUAAGUCUGAUGUGAAAGCCCCCGGCUCAACCGGGGAGGGUCAUUGGAAACUGGGAAACUUGAGUGCAGAAGAGGAGAGUGGAAUUCCAUGUGUAGCGGUGAAAUGCGUAGAGAUAUGGAGGAACACCAGUGGCGAAGGCGGCUCUCUGGUCUGUAACUGACGCUGAUGCGCGAAAGCGUGGGGAGCAAACAGGAUUAGAUACCCUGGUAGUCCACGCCGUAAACGAUGAGUGCUAAGUGUUAGAGGGUUUCCGCCCUUCAGUGCUGCAGCUAACGCAUUAAGCACUCCGCCUGGGGAGUACGACCGCAAGGUUGAAACUCAAAGGAAUUGACGGGGGCCCGCACAAGCGGUGGAGCAUGUGGUUUAAUUCGAAGCAACGCGAAGAACCUUACCAAGUCUUGACAUCCUUUGACCACUCUAGAGAUAGAGUCUUCCCC
This 939-nucleotide ribosomal RNA is filed under the name Enterococcus sp. ECH2. Its description in RNAcentral is "bacterial SSU rRNA". It matches the Rfam family "Bacterial small subunit ribosomal RNA", at positions 97 to 1019 of the family's 1533-position model. The record is from RNAcentral. Lineage: Bacteria; Bacillati; Bacillota; Bacilli; Lactobacillales; Enterococcaceae.